GAUGAACGCUGGCGGCGUGCCUAAUACAUGCAAGUCGAGCGAACAGACGAGGGGCUUGCUCCUUUGACGUUAGCGGCGGACGGGUGAGUAACACGUGGAUAACCUACCUAUAAGACUGGGAUAACUUCGGGAAACCGGAGCUAAUACCGGAUAACAUGUUGAACCGCAUGGUUCAACAGUGAAAGACGGUCUUGCUGUCACUUAUAGAUGGAUCCGCGCCGCAUUAGCUAGUUGGUAAGGUAACGGCUUACCAAGGCAACGAUGCGUAGCCGACCUGAGAGGGUGAUCGGCCACACUGGAACUGAGACACGGUCCAGACUCCUACGGGAGGCAGCAGUAGGGAAUCUUCCGCAAAGGGCGAAAGCCUGACGGAGCAACGCCGCGUGAGUGAAGAAGGUCUUCGGAUCGUAAAACUCUGUUAUUAGGGAAGAACAAAUGUGUAAGUAACUAUGCACGUCUUGACGGUACCUAAUCAGAAAGCCACGGCUAACUACGUG
Molecule: ribosomal RNA, 497 nt
Filed under: uncultured bacterium
Lineage: Bacteria
Description: partial 16S ribosomal RNA
Rfam family: Bacterial small subunit ribosomal RNA
Source: RNAcentral